RNAcentral lists this ribosomal RNA (621 nucleotides) under Ilyonectria destructans. RNAcentral describes it as "SSU rRNA". It matches the Rfam family "Bacterial small subunit ribosomal RNA", at positions 374 to 938 of the family's 1533-position model. The record is from RNAcentral. Lineage: Eukaryota; Fungi; Ascomycota; Sordariomycetes; Hypocreales; Nectriaceae.
GCCUAACGGCUGAACUGGCAACUUGGAGAAGUGGCAAGUUUUAUAAUUAAUAGUAAUUAAUAUUUCUAUUUUUAUAAAAUUCUAUUAGAAUUGAAUGAAGCUUUGUUUAUAUAUUGAUAAUGACAGUAUAUAUAUCGUGUCUUGACUAAUUGCGUGCCAGCAGUCGCGGUAAUACGUAAGAGACUAGUGUUAUUCAUCUUAAUUAGGUUUAAAGGGUACCCAGACGGUCAAUAUAUCUUCUAUAAUGUUAGUACUUGACUAGAGUUUUAUGUAAGAGGGCAGUACUUGAGGAGGAGAGAUGAAAUUUCGUGAUACCAAAGGGACUCUGUAAAGGCGAAGGCAGCCCUCUAUGUAGAAACUGACGUUGAAGGACGAAGGCACAGAGAACAAACAGGAUUAGAUACCCAAGUAGUCUUUGCAGUAAAUGAUGAAUGCCAUAGGUCAGAUCUAAAUUUAAUGUUUAUAGAUUAUAGAAGCGCCUGAAUUGGCAGCUUUGCAAAAAAUUAUAAAUAUUAAAAAUUAUUUGGUCUAUAAAUGAAAGUGUAAGCAUUUCACCUCAAGAGUAAUGUGGCAACGCAGGAACUGAAAUCACUAGACCGUUUCUGACACCAGUAGUGAAGU